Vicia faba (fava bean) is the source of this 267-nucleotide non-coding RNA. The record is from the annotation of a GenBank genome assembly. Lineage: Eukaryota; Viridiplantae; Streptophyta; Magnoliopsida; Fabales; Fabaceae.
AUGAUGACGAUUUCGUCUGCUUCUGCCUCCGUCUCUUUCGAAACACCGUCGCAGAUCUAUCUUCGCUUAACUUCGUUCUCAUCGGAUUCACACCUUCGAUCUCAGCCUUCGACCUUAACUCGCUUCUAUUUGCGGUUUUCACGACAAACCACACCUCAGCUUCAAUGCGAUUCAAACUUCAGCUUGCUUCUAUAUCUGAUUCGCUUCCGAUGUGAUCCUCCUUCUUCGACUUCUCAGCAUCGUUUGUUACUAAGUAUAAGCCGAUGA